ACUCAUAAUUAAACAAAAGUAUUAGUAAAAUGUCAAGUUACAGCCUUACUCUCUCCCUUCUCCAGAUUCACGAACCACGACAAACGCGCGGCCGCCUCUGCCUCCAGUCCAGAUCGCUCCUUUGCUCGCUGCUGGCCUGCGGCUGCCUCUGCCUGACUGCCUCCGUGGCCGUUCGUCGAUCUCUGUUCAAUGGAAAAAUUCCCUACCCAUACAAAUAACUAAAAAUGCAAUCUGAACGAAAAAGAAAGCUUACAGGAAGAAACCCACUCUCCGAUUGCACCAACACUUGUUCUUAUUCUUCCUCUGUUCCUCUUAAAUCCACCAAACCCUAUCGUUCUUCUUCUGCGUUAAAAAAACCUCACACCGAAUUCACGUCAACUACCGGGAAUCUCGAUGGUGCAUCAAACCCUAACUCUCCUCCAUCUACCUUUCUUUCAACUCCUUUGCCUAAAACAUUGUCUUGUCGCAGGACUGUUGAUCUUGAAGCUUCUGAGCCUAUUUCUAUAGUAUACAGCCGAAGAACCUCUUCAAAUAAAAGAAAGGAUAUAGGGAAGGAAGUGGUCGUUCCAGCCCAUAACACACCUAUUAGAAGAAAGGAUGUUGCGAAGGAAGUGGUCGUUUCUGCUAGUAGCACGUCCAUUAGAAGGAAGGAUAAAGAAAAGGAAGUGGUCAAUCCUGUGAGUAGCACACCCGUUAGAUGGAAGGAUAAAGGGAAGGAAGUGGUCAUUCCUGCAAGUAGCACACCCAUUAGAUGGAAGGAUAAAGGGAAGGAAGUGGUCAUUCCUGCAAGUAGCACACCUAUUCAAGGGAAGGAAGUGGACAUUCCUUCAAGUAGCACAACCAUUUUGAAGGUCUCUAAUACUAGGCAGCCUCUUGGGUUUCAAAACCUUGCGAUGAAGUCAUGUGAAGCUUUCAUGAAUAGAUUACUAAGUCCGAAUUUAUCCCUUUUUGUUUCACCUCUGCCUUAUCAUGUCUCUACAUUCAUGCCCUUAAUAUUAUUGUUACCCUCAUUCUUUUGCAUGUUCCUUUUUCAUCAUAUAAUACAGUGAGAAAAAUGAUGGGGUAGAAGGUGCAAAUCUACCCAAGGUCAAGGCAAUGACAGUCCCUUGUAGAAAGAAGCACCGUGCCAAGUCAUCUAAACAAGACGUGUUCAAAGAUCCCAUCUUGCAAGAUUAUAUUGAAAAACAAAAUGCUUACUUUAAAAUGAUUGAUGAAUUUGAACUAUCAGAGGAGGAGGUUGAAACAGUUAGUGAUAACUAGAAAGUGGUAAAGUGAUUGAUGAAUUUGAACUGCCAAAAGAAGGAGACUAUAUCUAUUGAUAACUGGAAAUGUGAUGAAGAUGUAAUGUAAUGUAAGUAUAAAUAGCAGCUUGAAGCUUCUUUGUCAUGGUAGGUUGUAUAGUUGUGAUAUGAUAGUUUUUUUUCACCAUGAAUUACUACCUCAGUGCCACAUCUCUGACCAAAUAAGUCAAUACAAGUUGAAAAAUCGAAGGAGGCCAAGGGAAAAAUCGAAGUUGAAAUUGUUUAACACUUACACGUCAAUAGUCCUCAUGGAAUCUUCCUCUCUUAUUUCAGUUGUAAAUUACUAGUUGGAAUGUAAUUCUUUCAAUUCAUAAAUUCAUGUUUUUGAAUACGUUGCUUUGUUAGACUCACGUGGAGGCGAAUACAAAGAGAUACAAAAGUUCUGUA
RNA transcript from Cicer arietinum (chickpea), 1688 nucleotides. RefSeq lists it as uncharacterized. The record is from RefSeq and is a predicted model, not a curated record. NCBI's taxonomy places the organism in Eukaryota, Viridiplantae, Streptophyta, Magnoliopsida, Fabales, Fabaceae.